This 543-nucleotide ribosomal RNA is filed under the name Staphylococcus aureus. Its description in RNAcentral is "partial 23S ribosomal RNA". It matches the Rfam family "Bacterial large subunit ribosomal RNA", at positions 117 to 656 of the family's 2925-position model. The record is from RNAcentral. Lineage: Bacteria; Bacillati; Bacillota; Bacilli; Caryophanales; Staphylococcaceae.
AAUGGGGAAACCCAGCAUGAGUUAUGUCAUGUUAUCGAUAUGUGAAUACAUAGCAUAUCAGAAGGCACACCCGGAGAACUGAAACAUCUUAGUACCCGGAGGAAGAGAAAGAAAAUUCGAUUCCCUUAGUAGCGGCGAGCGAAACGGGAAGAGCCCAAACCAACAAGCUUGCUUGUUGGGGUUGUAGGACACUCUAUACGGAGUUACAAAGGACGACAUUAGACGAAUCAUCUGGAAAGAUGAAUCAAAGAAGGUAAUAAUCCUGUAGUCGAAAAUGUUGUCUCUCUUGAGUGGAUCCUGAGUACGACGGAGCACGUGAAAUUCCGUCGGAAUCUGGGAGGACCAUCUCCUAAGGCUAAAUACUCUCUAGUGACCGAUAGUGAACCAGUACCGUGAGGGAAAGGUGAAAAGCACCCCGGAAGGGGAGUGAAAUAGAACCUGAAACCGUGUGCUUACAAGUAGUCAGAGCCCGUUAAUGGGUGAUGGCGUGCCUUUUGUAGAAUGAACCGGCGAGUUACGAUUUGAUGCAAGGUUAAGCAGUAA